GACAGAGGUGGCUAGCGUUGUUCGGAUUCAUUGGGUGUAAAGGGUGCGUAGGCGGUUUGGAAAGUCGGAUGUGAAAGCCCACAGCUCAACUGUGGAAAUGCAUCCGAAACUUCCAGACUCGAGUGCGAGAGAGGUGAAGGGAAUUCCCGGUGUAAGGGUGAAAUCUGCAGAGAUCGGGAGGAACACCAGUAGCGAAGGCGCUUCACUGGCUCGCAACUGACGCUGAGUGCACGAAGGCGUGGGGAGCAAACGGG
RNAcentral lists this ribosomal RNA (254 nucleotides) under uncultured bacterium. RNAcentral describes it as "partial 16S ribosomal RNA". It matches the Rfam family "Bacterial small subunit ribosomal RNA", at positions 524 to 776 of the family's 1533-position model. The record is from RNAcentral.